UCGCUAAAUAUGUGUAGUUGUAAGUAGC
This 28-nucleotide non-coding RNA is filed under the name Bombyx mori (domestic silkworm). The record is from RNAcentral. Lineage: Eukaryota; Metazoa; Arthropoda; Insecta; Lepidoptera; Bombycidae.